AUCGAACGCUGGCGGCAUGCCUUACACAUGCAAGUCGAACGGUAACAGGUCUUCGGAUGCUGACGAGUGGCGAACGGGUGAGUAAUACAUCGGAACGUGCCUAGUAGUGGGGGAUAACUACUCGAAAGAGUGGCUAAUACCGCAUGAGAUCUACGGAUGAAAGCAGGGGAUCGCAAGACCUUGUGCUACUAGAGCGGCCGAUGGCAGAUUAGGUAGUUGGUGGGAUAAAAGCUUACCAAGCCGACGAUCUGUAGCUGGUCUGAGAGGACGAUCAGCCACACCGGGACUGAGACACGGCCCAGACUCCGACGGGAGGCAGCAGUGGGGAAUUUUGGACAAUGGGCGAAAGCCUGAUCCAGCAAUGCCGCGUGCAGGAUGAAGGCCUUCGGGUUGUAAACUGCUUUUGUACGGAACGAAAAGCCCCGGGUUAAUACCCUGGGGUCAUGACGGUACCGUAAGAAUAAGCACCGGCUAACUACGUGCCAGCCGCCGCAGUAA
This 498-nucleotide ribosomal RNA is filed under the name uncultured bacterium. RNAcentral's name for it is "partial 16S ribosomal RNA". It matches the Rfam family "Bacterial small subunit ribosomal RNA", at positions 30 to 523 of the family's 1533-position model. The record is from RNAcentral.